GGUAAGAUGGCCGAGCGGUUAAGGCGUGUGACUCAAGUUCUCAUGGGAGAAAUCCCGCCUGGGUUCAAGUCCCAGUCUUACCA
Molecule: transfer RNA, 83 nt
Filed under: Omphalotus olearius VT 653.13
Lineage: Eukaryota; Fungi; Basidiomycota; Agaricomycetes; Agaricales; Omphalotaceae
Description: tRNA-Leu (CAA) (tRNA-Leu-CAA-1 1 to 3)
Rfam family: tRNA
About the family: Transfer RNA (tRNA) molecules are approximately 80 nucleotides in length.
Source: RNAcentral